GCCAUCAUGGCUCAGUGGUUAGAGCACUAGUCUCGGAAACCAGGGGUCGUGAGUUCAAUCCUUACUGAUGGCU
Molecule: transfer RNA, 73 nt
Filed under: Parasteatoda tepidariorum (common house spider)
Lineage: Eukaryota; Metazoa; Arthropoda; Arachnida; Araneae; Theridiidae
Description: transfer RNA proline (anticodon CGG)
Rfam family: tRNA
About the family: Transfer RNA (tRNA) molecules are approximately 80 nucleotides in length. Their secondary structure includes four short double-helical elements and three loops (D, anti-codon, and T loops). Further hydrogen bonds mediate the characteristic L-shaped molecular structure. tRNAs have two regions of fundamental functional importance: the anti-codon, which is responsible for specific mRNA codon recognition, and the 3' end, to which the tRNAs corresponding amino acid is attached (by aminoacyl-tRNA synthetases). tRNAs cope with the degeneracy of the genetic code in two manners: having more than one tRNA (with a specific anti-codon) for a particular amino acid; and 'wobble' base-pairing, i.e. permitting non-standard base-pairing at the 3rd anti-codon position.
Source: RNAcentral